RNAcentral lists this transfer RNA (76 nucleotides) under Candidatus Izemoplasmatales bacterium. RNAcentral's name for it is "tRNA-Gln". It matches the Rfam family "tRNA". From Rfam's summary of the family: Transfer RNA (tRNA) molecules are approximately 80 nucleotides in length. Their secondary structure includes four short double-helical elements and three loops (D, anti-codon, and T loops). Further hydrogen bonds mediate the characteristic L-shaped molecular structure. tRNAs have two regions of fundamental functional importance: the anti-codon, which is responsible for specific mRNA codon recognition, and the 3' end, to which the tRNAs corresponding amino acid is attached (by aminoacyl-tRNA synthetases). tRNAs cope with the degeneracy of the genetic code in two manners: having more than one tRNA (with a specific anti-codon) for a particular amino acid; and 'wobble' base-pairing, i.e. permitting non-standard base-pairing at the 3rd anti-codon position. The record is from RNAcentral. Lineage: Bacteria; Bacillati; Mycoplasmatota; Mollicutes; Candidatus Izemoplasmatales.
UGGGCUAUGGCCAAGUUGGUUAAGGCAUCGGACUCUGACUCCGAAACCGCUAGUUCGAAUCUAGCUAGCCCAGCCA